GGAGGGUGCGAGCGUUGUCCGGAUUUAUUGGGUUUAAAGGGUGCGUAGGUGGCUUUAUAAGUCAGUGGUGAAAUACGGUUGCUCAGCAAUCGAUGUGCCAUUGAUACUGCAAAGCUUGAAAUAAUUGGAGGCUGCCGGAAUGGAUGGUGUAGCGGUGAAAUGCAUAGAUAUCAUCCAGAACACCGAUUGCGAAGGCAGGUGGCUACGAUUUGUUUGACACUGAGGCACGAAAGCAUGGGGAGCAAACAGGAUUAGAUACCCUGGUAGUCCAUGCUGUAAACGAUGAGGACUCGCUGUUUGAUGGCAACAUUGAGCGGCUUAGGGAAACCGUUAAGUCCUCCACCUGGGGAGUACGCCGGCAACGGUG
This 367-nucleotide ribosomal RNA is filed under the name uncultured bacterium. RNAcentral describes it as "bacterial SSU rRNA". It matches the Rfam family "Bacterial small subunit ribosomal RNA", at positions 527 to 896 of the family's 1533-position model. The record is from RNAcentral.